CCUUGCCUCUGAUACCCAUGCAUCUGGAAAGAUAGCUGUGCUGCACCAGAAACAAAACGGUGGAAGCAGUUGGUUGGAGAACAAGGUGGGACGGGGCAGUCGAGGCAGCAGGCUGGUAUCACGGGUCCUUGUCUUGCUGAGAAGAGUCUUAGAAGGUCAGGAGCCAGGCAUAAAGCGACAUGAGUUGGAAUGUCUUUGAGUAGAACGGUCUUUUCUUGAGAUGAAAGCUUCCUUCCUCCGUCCCUCCCUUCCUUCCUUUCUUUUUGCCAGAUACUCUGAUGCUCACCUCAUGACAGGACAUCAUCAGGGGAGCCAGCACGUAGUUAAGACCCUGCGGUUCUUGUUCUGGAGUUUACACCGCAUCGGAGGAGACAGCAAAGCCUGGAGAAGUGAAGAAGUUCUGAAUCCAUGGUUGGGAGAAAUAUGGCAGCAGAUGGCAAUAUGCACAAGUGGCAUUUGGACCGGCCGGAUGUGAUGGGGAAUUGGGUUGGCUGUGAAAGAAAUCAAAGAAGACUAUUUCUACUGCUCACAACCCUAAACCUUUGAAAAUAUUGGCAGUGCUGCUGGAUUUUCUAUAAUAUUGUGGGAUGAGAGCAUACAUUGUUUUAUUUGAAAAAUAAGGAAAAGAAGGAUCCCAGAAGAUGGCGUGCUUGGGUGGAGGAACUCUUGGGUUAUGGUACUAAUUUCCAACUGAUUUGGGAUUGGAGUUUAAAACCAGUAUUUUAACACAGCAUGGCUGCCGACUUGUAAUGCAUAACAUUAUGUAAUAGCGUAGUAAGAUUACAGAUUUUACUAGCUUCUAGCUAAUUUCUCUGACCACAUUUGUAAAAAUAUAAGCAUCGCAAUAAUGGAUUGUAACAUACUGAAUUUUAGAAGAAUGAAGUUCCAUAGUGAUUUUUGAAAAUGGUGGGGGUGUGUGCAGUAAAAGCUCUUCUUUACGAAAGAAUGGGAAGAUGUGGAGGAGAUGACUGCAUUAGAAAAUCAUCAUUUUGCCACUAACAUUAUAAUAAUCAAUGCAGGCAAAUAUGCUCCUUGGUAUUUAGCCAAAGGAAUUGAAAACUAGGAGUUCCCGUCGUGGCUCAGUGGUUAACGAAUCCGACUAGGAACCAUGAGGUUGUGGGUUUGAUCCCUGGCCUCGCUCAGCGGGUUAAGGAUCCAGUGUUGCUGUGAGCUGUGGUGUAGGUUACAGAUACGACUCGGAUGCUGUGUUGCUGUGGCAGUGGUGUAAGCCGGCAGCUGUAGCUCCAAUUCAACCCCUAGCCUGGGAACCUCCACAUAUGACGUGGGUACAGCCCUAAAAAGCAAAAAAAGGAAAAAGAGAAAAGAAAUGGCUAUGUGUGGUUUACAAGCCUGUUAACACUGUCUUCUAGUUGAUUGACCAAACUAGGACACACGAGUUCAAUCCCUGGCCUUGCUCAGUGGGUUAAGAAGCUGUUGUGUAGGUCACAGAUGCGGCCGGGAUCCUGUGUUGCUGUGGUGCUGGCGAAGGAUGGCGACUACUGCUCUGAUUAGACCCCUAGCCUGGGAACCUCCAUAUGCCACAGGUGCGACCCUAGAAAAGACAAAAAGACAAAAAAAAAAAAAGAAAAAAAAGAAAAGAAAACUUAUGUCCACACAAAACCCUGUACCCAGAUUUUAUAACAGCUUUAUUCAUAAUGGCCCAAUCAUGGAAGAAACCAAGAUGACCCUCAGUAAGUGAACGGAUAAAUAAACUGCCAUAUAUCCGGAUAAUGGAAUUUCA
This 1741-nucleotide long non-coding RNA is filed under the name Sus scrofa (pig). Its description in RNAcentral is "lncRNA (ENSSSCG00065009368.1)". The record is from RNAcentral. Lineage: Eukaryota; Metazoa; Chordata; Mammalia; Artiodactyla; Suidae.